CGGCGUAAAGAGUGGUUAAGAAAAUAAAAAAAUAGGGCCGAAUAGUCUCAUUGCAGUUAUACGUUUACGAGAUCACUAAGUACAUUCACGAAAGUAGCCUUAGCAAAGUUCUGACUCCACGAGAGCCAUAAGACAAACUGGGAUUAGAUACCCCACUAUGUAUGGUUGUAAAAUUUGAUGGCUUGACACUCAAACCAUUCGCCAGGGAAUUACGAGCAUGAGCUUAAAAUCCAAAGGACUUGGCGGUGUUUUAGACCCCCCUAGAGGAGCCUGUUCUAUAACUGAUAAUCCUCGUUAAACCUCACCACCCUUAGUUCCCAUAAGCCGUCUAUAUACCGCCGUCGCAAGCUUACCCUUUGAAGGAUUAAUAGUAAGCAAAAUUGGUAAUACCAAAAACGUCAGGUCGAGGUGUAGCAAAUGGGGUGGGAAGAAAUGGGCUACAUUCUCUGCAGAAGAGUAUUACGAAUGGUGGUUUGAAAUAGGCCACACAGAAGGUGGAUUUAGUAGUAAGUAGGGAAUAGAGUGCCUUACUGAAAAUGGCUCUAAAACGCGUACAUACCGCCCGUCAUUCUCUCUUAAUAUCUUUUAAAAUUUUACUUAAAGUGUUAUUCUACAAUAAGGGGAGACAAGUCGUAACAUGGUAAGCGUACCGGAA
Molecule: ribosomal RNA, 655 nt
Filed under: Bathygadus melanobranchus (Vaillant's grenadier)
Lineage: Eukaryota; Metazoa; Chordata; Actinopteri; Gadiformes; Macrouridae
Description: partial 12S ribosomal RNA
Rfam family: Bacterial small subunit ribosomal RNA
Source: RNAcentral